RNAcentral lists this ribosomal RNA (515 nucleotides) under uncultured bacterium. Its description in RNAcentral is "partial 16S ribosomal RNA". It matches the Rfam family "Bacterial small subunit ribosomal RNA", at positions 28 to 523 of the family's 1533-position model. The record is from RNAcentral.
GAUGAACGCUGGCGGCGUGCCUAAUACAUGCAAGUCGAGCGAAUGGAUUAAGAGCUUGCUCUUAUGAAGUUAGCGGCGGACGGGUGAGUAACACGUGGGUAACCUGCCCAUAAGACCGGGAUAACUCCGGGAAACCGGGGCUAAUACCGGAUAACAUUUUGAACCGCAUGGUUCGAAAUUGAAAGGCGGCUUCGGCUGUCACUUAUGGAUGGACCCGCGUCGCAUUAGCUAGUUGGUGAGGUAACGGCUCACCAAGGCAACGAUGCGUAGCCGACCUGAGAGGGUGGUCGGCCACACUGGGACUGAGACACGGCCCAGACUCCUACGGGAGGCAGCAGUAGGGAAUCUUCCGCAAUGGACGAAAGUCUGACGGAGCAACGCCGCGUGAGUGAUGAAGGCUUUCGGGUCGUAAAACUCUGUUGUUAGGGAAGAACAAGUGCUAGUUGAAUAAGCUGGCACCUUGACGGUACCUAACCAGAAAGCCACGGCUAACUACGUGCCAGCCGCCACCGUAA